AGAGUUUGAUCCUGGCUCAGAAUCAACGCUGGCGGCGUGCCUAACACAUGCAAGUCGAACGAGAAAGUGGAGCAAUCCAUGAGUAAAGUGGCGACCGGGUGAGUAACACGUGACUAACCUACCCUGAAGUGGGGAAUAACCUCGGGAAACCGGGGCUAAUACCGCAUAACAUCGCGAGCUGUAAACGCUUGUGAUCAAAGGAGCAAUUCGCUUUAGGAGGGGGUCGCGGCUGAUUAGUUAGUUGGUGAGGUAACGGCUCACCAAGACAAAGAUCAGUAUCCGGCCUGAGAGGGCGCACGGACACACUGGAACUGAAACACGGUCCAGACUCCUACGGGAGGCAGCAGUGGGGAAUUUUGCGCAAUGGGGGAAACCCUGACGCAGCAACGCCGCGUGGAGGAUGAAGUCCCUUGGGAUGUAAACUCCUUUCGAUCGGGACGAUUAUGACGGUACCGGAAGAAGAAGCACCGGCUAACUCUGUGCCAGCAGCCGCGGUAAUACAGAGGGUGCAAGCGUUGUUCGGAAUUAUUGGGCGUAAAGGGCGCGU
RNAcentral lists this ribosomal RNA (547 nucleotides) under uncultured Terriglobales bacterium. RNAcentral describes it as "bacterial SSU rRNA". It matches the Rfam family "Bacterial small subunit ribosomal RNA", at positions 8 to 572 of the family's 1533-position model. Lineage: Bacteria; Pseudomonadati; Acidobacteriota; Terriglobia; Terriglobales. The record is from RNAcentral.